AUGAGAGUGUCGAGGAUGGCAUUAUGUGGAAACAUUCAAACAAAUGAGCUCUACUCCGUGGCCUCUGCCUACAAGGCGCAAUUCCUUGGCAUGACCUUCUCCUCUUUGGACCAAAUGGUGUGGAAGGCUUGGGCGCCGCAAAAGGUUAAGUUCUUCGCAUCGUUGGCUAUUCAAGAUCGCAUUUGGACCGCCGAUAGGCUGGACAAUGGGGGAUGGACAAAUUGUGGGCUUUGUCCUCUUUGCAAGAGAGUGCAAGAGUGCGGCACGCACCUCUUUUUCAAGUGUCGCUUCACUUUGAGGCUUUGGGGCUUGGUCAAGUCGAAAUUACGACUUGAGAACUUUGAUGUCAUUUCUUGGCACUUGGAAGACUCCGUAAAAAAGUGAUGGGAAAGUCGUGCCGGCGUGGGCACCACACAGAGGAAGGCCAUGGCUUCGCUUACCAUGCUUGUCUCAUGGACCGUAUGAAACAAAAGAAACGCAAGGGUCUUCCGCAACAAAAGCGCGCCACCAACCAUUUUGCUCAACAAUAUCAUGACGGAGGCAAAUCUGUGGGUCACCGCUGGUGCUAAAAAUCUAGGGUCACUCAUGUCGCGAGAGUAA
This 600-nucleotide ribosomal RNA is filed under the name Triticum aestivum (bread wheat). Its description in RNAcentral is "partial small subunit ribosomal RNA". The record is from RNAcentral. Lineage: Eukaryota; Viridiplantae; Streptophyta; Magnoliopsida; Poales; Poaceae.